Molecule: ribosomal RNA, 495 nt
Filed under: uncultured bacterium
Lineage: Bacteria
Description: partial 16S ribosomal RNA
Rfam family: Bacterial small subunit ribosomal RNA
Source: RNAcentral
GACGAACGCUGGCGGCGUGCCUAAUACAUGCAAGUCGAACGCUGAAGGAGGAGCUUGCUUCUCCGGAUGAGUUGCGAACGGGUGAGUAACGCGUAGGUAACCUGCCUGGUAGCGGGGGAUAACUAUUGGAAACGAUAGCUAAUACCGCAUAACAGUAGAUGUUGCAUGACAUUUGCUUAAAAGGUGCAAUUGCAUCACUACCAGAUGGACCUGCGUUGUAUUAGCUAGUUGGUGAGGUAACGGCUCACCAAGGCGACGAUACAUAGCCGACCUGAGAGGGGGAUCGGCCACACUGGGACUGAGACACGGCCCAGACUCCUACGGGAGGCAGCAGUAGGGAAUCUUCGGCAAUGGACGGAAGUCUGACCGAGCAACGCCGCGUGAGUGAAGAAGGUUGUCGGAUCGUAAAGCUCUGUUGUAAGAGAAGAACGAGUGUGAGAGUGGAAAGUUCACACUGUGACGGUAUCUUACCAGAAAGGGACGGCUAACUACGUG